GAUGAACGCUAGCGGCAGGCCUAAUACAUGCAAGUCGAACGGUAAGGCCCUUUCGGGGGUACACGAGUGGCGGACGGGUGCGUAACGCGUAUGCAACAUGCCUUCCAGCGGGGGAUAUACCAGGGAAACUUGGCGCAAUACCCCAUAGAAUUACGGGACCGCAUGGUCUUGUGAUUAAAACUCCGGUGCUGGGGGAUUGGCAUGCGUGACAUUAGCUAGUUGGCGGGGUAACGGCCCACCAAGGCGACGAUGUCUAGCUGGUCUGAGAGGAUGAUCAGCCACACUGGGACUGAGACACGGCCCAGACUCCUACGGGAGGCAGCAGUAGGGAAUAUUGGACAAUGGGGGGAACCCUGAUCCAGCCAUGCCGCGUGUGUGAAGAAGGCC
This 387-nucleotide ribosomal RNA is filed under the name uncultured bacterium. RNAcentral's name for it is "bacterial SSU rRNA". It matches the Rfam family "Bacterial small subunit ribosomal RNA", at positions 28 to 416 of the family's 1533-position model. The record is from RNAcentral.